Molecule: unclassified non-coding RNA, 3446 nt
Filed under: Leishmania donovani
Lineage: Eukaryota; Euglenozoa; Kinetoplastea; Trypanosomatida; Trypanosomatidae
Description: gene:LdHU3.36.0600(CDS-product:amino_acid_permeas e-like_protein)
Source: RNAcentral
AGGCACACAUUGAAGCGGUGUAGUUUUGUGGCACCUCCCUUUCCACCUCCUCUCUCGUCAUCUGCUGUGCGCACACCCGCUCACUUAACAGUAUUGUCCACCCCACACGCACACAGAUUUCGGCUGUUUUUCAACGUCAGCGUCGCAAACACGGCCAGCGCAAGUGGCACACGAGCAGCGGCCUCACUCCGCCUCUCGCCGACCCUCUCCUCUCUUCCCAGUUACCAGCGCCACUUGACCAUCACUCAUCAUACACGUGAUCGGCUUGCUGCGCGCGCGCUCCCUAUACACACAUACGUGUAUACGUAUUUGCUUUUCUCGUGGUUGGAGCGAAGAACACAGCGAGGGCAAGAAUACGAAAACAAAGCCGCACAACGGUAAGGGUGACAUCAAAAGGAAGCGACCACACAAGGGGAGCGCACCUAGGCCUCCUCAGAGGGAGCGGCGAAGGGGAGGAGGGGGGCUAUAGGAACUCUAUGACCCACGCCACUUCUCUCUUGCACGUUUGCUCUCCUCUUUUCCCUCUCUGCGCCUACCUGUCUGCACCGCUUCGCACGCACACCACGAGCACGCAGACACACGCAUCUUUUUUUUUUUUUUGCACGCUGAGACACGAGUGGCACGGCACUUGCGCCCUUGCUGCGUUUCUCGCGUGCAAGCAACUCUGUAGGCGCCCUCAUUGCAUGUGUGAGUCUUCCCUGAGCCUCCUUCCUUCUCCCCGCCCCGCCCUUCCCCGCGGCAGGCCGACCUUGGGCGUUCGCUUCCCUCUCGCUUUGGCAGCUCCACCUCUCGCGCUCAUUUUGUUGCUUUCAUCUCUGCUCCUCGCCUCUGUUGUUGUCGUUGCCCCUCUUUGUUCUCUCCCAUUUCCAGCAUAUUUGUAGCGCCUCGCUCGCUCUCUCUGUCUCUCUCGCUUUCCCAUCACCGCGAUCGCACGCUUCACCCGCACCGUAAUUUCGAGUGUUGAGGGCGGUCUUGCUUUCGACACGCGCACAGGGCGGUGGUGAUCCAGUGUUGAGUGUCUGCCUUCUUUGUGUCUCUGUGGCCUGUCUGCGUCGACUCGAAGUUUCUGCGCGGCACUGCUUAUCUCACUUUUCUCCCUUAUUUUUCUUCGUUCACUGUAUUCCUGUUCAGCCUUGGCAGUGUGCGUUGCGCUGGUCUUUGUAGAUGGGUGUCUGCUCUUUCCCUCCUCCUUUUCCCCUAUUUCUUCCGAUCUCGCCAGCGUCACUUGUGAGCACCUCUUUAUACGCCGCGCUUCCGCUCUUUUCAUAUGCGCGCCCACCGGCACACAACCGCCUGUGCAGGAAUGGUGGGUGGAGGUGACUCGAACCUCAAUGAGCUGAGCCCCAUGCUACCGCAUGGGACUUGGCUACGCAUGUCGCACUCGCACGCCGCCUUUGACACCGAGUUGAACCGCUCCAUCGGCAGCAACGUGCGGCGGGCAAACAGUGUUCCCGUGCUCACGCGGCGCGACCGACGCCUCCUGACUGUGUCGCCGAUGUUAUUCGAUCGCUACUACAUGGCUGAAGGCGGUGGUUUGAUUUCGAGCGCGUUUAAUCUUGCAUCUGCCACAUGUGGCGCCGGUGUGCUCGCGUUGCCGUAUGCGAUGCAGCACUGCGGAACCGUAACAGGCACCCUCACUCUCAUUUUCGUCUGCAACCUUACCAUCUACAGCGUGUUCCUCCUGGCGAAGGUUAGCGCGUUGACGAAGCUCAUGUCAUAUGAGGAACUCGCCAUCGAUCUUGUCGGCCCCAUCACAGAGAAAGUGACGGCCGCGAUCAUUGUCGUCUUCUGCUGGGGUGUGGCUGUCAUGUACAUUGUGAUGAUGGGUGACUUUAUCGUGCCGCUCUUUGAAGCCGUUGGUCUGUCCCACAAGGUCCAUCGCCGCACCGCCAUGGUGCUCUUCUGGGCACUCGUUAUGUUUCCUUUGUCGAUGGCUCGCAAGGUCCAGACGCUGCGCUACGCCUCCAUCGUCGGCACCGUAUCCAUCUUCCUGCUCGCCGGCGCCCUCGUGGAUCGCUUUGCGCAGGACAGAAGAGAGGACGCAAACAGCACGGGGCUGGACCCCGGGAGGCAUACUCCCCCGCGUGCGCCGCUGGCUCGCUGGGACUCCGGGAUGAUCGGUGCUCUCACCACGUUUGUGUUCAGCUACUGCUGCCAGCCGGUGGCACCAAGGAUCUACGAGGAACUCAAAGACCGCUCAGUGAAGCGGAUGUGCGUGUGCACGGUGUGCUCCAUGACCGCGGCCACCGUCAUUUACAUUCUCACCGGCGUCUUUGGUGCCAUGAGUUUCGGCGACUCGGUGAAGCCAAACGUGCUGGUGAACUUUUCGAACCACCUUGAUUCUCGCCCAGCGCAACUUGCGUACUUCGGCAUUGUUGUCUCCCUCACGAUGGCGUUUCCCAUGACGAUCUUUCCAACGCGCGACUCGGUGGUCAUGGCGAUGGGCUACCAUGCGGAGGAGAACCCCGCGCCGGUAUGGCUGUCCAGAACCAUCGCGGGCCUCCUCGCCCUGCUGGCGCUGCUCAUUGGUAUUGCUUUGCCGAACAUCCGCGUCCUUUUCGACGUCCUCGGCGGCGUGUGCGGCGGGUCCCUCUCCUUCUUGCUCCCCGCUCUCUUCGCGCUGCGCUCCGGCUACUGGACGACGGCGGAGGUGGGGUGGCGACAUAUGGCGUUGACAUGGCUGACGCUCGCGUUUGGCGUCGUGGUGUGCGGCUUGGGCACGUACAACUCCGUGAAAUCGAAUUUCUUUUAAGUGGGCCAGGGCACGCUUCCGACAUGGGCCACGAGCGGACGCGGGUGAGGGCAGUGCUUGGUGGGUGCCUCUCGUUGUCGUUACAACUCCUCUGUCCAUAUGUGUAUCUUGUGCGUUGGUACUCCCGCCUUCCUCCCCUUUUCUCUGUCGCCGUCGCCGGUGUCUUUCGGCCUCACUCUCACUUCUAUGCCUUGCCCCGUUACCUCGCCUGCACCCCGCGUGCGCCAUCACCGAUGCGUGCUUGUGCUCUCCCCCCUAUCGGCCAUGUGUAUCUCUCGGUGGUGACGGCGCCCUCUCACUAAAGUGCUGUGCUGUGCUUAGAUCGGAAGCAACCUGCCCCCUACCGCGCACACACCUUUAGAUGUGCGCCGGCGGAUAAUGUGUGCAGAGAGGGCAGAAGCGAGGGCGCGCCAAUGUGUUAGGGAUCGUGAAGAGCACAGAUGAAGUAGGGUGAGGAGGACAAGUGGGCUUCGGCGGAGGAAGGAAAUGAGACAAGAGACGGAAGGCCCAGACCCUCUUCUGCGCGAUCAUCGAUAGGGGCGCGGCGGGCGAAAACCGAGGCACAAUCAACGAAGAAUACACACACACACACAAGUGAGCACGGCCAACAGGGAGGGAGGCAUGUAUGGGCGGAAAAAUAAAUACUUUUGGCCGCGACACCAGCCAUCAAUGUGGCCGCGUCACUCGCGAUAGG